GCAAAAGUCGUAACACGGUUUCCGUAGGUGAACCUGCGGAAGGAUCAUUCACACGUGAUGCAUGCAAGCUGGAAAAGUUGCCUGUUUGUAUGUGGGAAGUGCAUUUAUUAUGCACACCUGCAUUCAUGCGAGGUUACUGUCAAUCCGGCGACUGCAUGUAUGGCUUCUUGGACCGCAAUAACAACAACCUGUAAAUCUCUUUUCUUCUCCACAACGGUUUUUCUUUUGUUUACGGUACCUUAUUAGUGUACCACAACUAUAAGUUGUUGGGGUUUUCAGCUGCUUCACUGUGCUACUGGAUGAUAGGCUAGCUGCAUUUGUUUUGCCGGUCGGGGUUGUUGUUCGGCAGGCACAGCAUGGCAGCAGGGCUGUCGGCAGUGGCAGGUGUUUGCAGUUGUAUACCAUUUAAUUCUGCUAAAGAGCAGAAUGAUUUGUUUACAAAAAAAAACUUUCA
RNAcentral lists this unclassified non-coding RNA (454 nucleotides) under Eimeria meleagrimitis. Its description in RNAcentral is "sequence contains 18S rRNA gene, ITS1 and 5.8S rRNA gene". The stretch from base 1 to 50 matches the Rfam family "Eukaryotic small subunit ribosomal RNA", at positions 1782 to 1831 of the family's 1831-position model. The record is from RNAcentral. Lineage: Eukaryota; Apicomplexa; Conoidasida; Eucoccidiorida; Eimeriidae.